GUUAUUUUUAAUUUUUUUUUAAUGCAAGGGAGAAAGGCAAAAAACUGUGGCAUUUAUUUAACGUGAUCUUGGCCUUCUACCUCUUUUUUUUAGGCCUCAAGUUUCCAAGAGAGGACUUGCACUGUCUCUGCCUUCCUCCUGGGAGGAGGGAAGAUUCACCUGAUGGAUAACUCUUUCUGAAGAACUUCAUUCUUGGCAUGGAGAUGUAGAUAUUUUGAAGAUGACAUUUGCAGUUCUGCUCUAAGACCAUCAACCUGCGUACAUCAAUGUAAAAACAAAGUACCAUUCUGGUGGGAGAUACCACAUCAUGACAAGAAAGGUUAUGGAUGUGUGGGACACAUCAGGUAUGUGGGAUAGCUCUGUACCUUCCUCUCAAUUUUACCAUGAACCUAAAAAUCACACUAGAAAUUAAGGUUAUUAAUUUGUAAAAAAGAUAGUUACUGAACCUGUUAUUACCAUAUAUUAUAACCAGACACAGCCACCUUGAAAACUGGAGAUAAUUAAAGAUCAAAGUAGCAGAAUAUGGGCACUAUCUCUCAAUUGAAGUAUAUAAAAAUACACAAAGCAAGUAAUUUUAAUUGCACACUUAGGCAAGAGAGUAAUAGGUAAAAUGAAUAUUUAUCUUAUUUCACAAUUAUAGAGAGGAAAUGGGGAUUUAACACAAUAUGUAUCUAAACUGGACCAUCCCUAUAAAUAUAAAAUAUAAUGUUGAUUCUAAUUCAAAUCAUAAAUUAUUGUGCUUAUUUUAUCCAACAAUUUUACUGAAAGGUUUAUCAAAUAAGGACAAAUUAUAAUUACCUAACAUUGUCAUAGUAUCUUAUAUAUAAAUACCUGUUAAAUAUUCACCAAAAGUCAAAAAAACCCACCAUUGCAACUUAAUAUGGAUCAUGCAACUGAAACCACUCCCAUGUUAUUAUAUUAUUCGAUAUUAAAAUAAAACUUUAAGGUAACACCAAAAUUCAAGUUGGGACUAUAAUUGCUGUACAGAAAAGAUUUCAUCUAGUGAAGAGAAUACCCUUCUUAGAAAGGCCUGCUUGCAAGGCUGGGCCUUGGCUGGCAUUUGGGAACUUGGAUUUGUAGAGUUCUCAAUAUUCCCUAACUGAUAAGAGUGGCUCACUGUGCCUGAACUGUUUGUACAAACAAUGUGGUUUACUCGGAACAGCUGCUUUCCUUCUGGGCAUCUGCACUUUGGUACACGCAGGAGAGAGGAUGUCUAUGUGACUAGCCUCCGUAAAAAACUUGGGUACUGAGUCUCUAAUGACAGUCUGAUACUGGUAGACAACACUGCACAUGUGUUGUCAAAAUUUGAUGCUGGGAAAGCACAUCCAGGUAACUCGGUAGGAGAGGACUCUUGGACUCCUGUACCUGGUUUCAUUCACAUUUCACUAUACGUACUGUUUUCCUUCGCCAAUGUUGCUGUGUAUCCCGUCACUGUAAUAAAUUAAAGCCCUGAGUAAGAGUAUUUGCUGAGUCCUGUGAGUCCUCCUGGUGAACCACCAAAUCUUGGGGUGGUCUUGGGAACCCCUGACGCAACUGCAUUAUAUGAUGUUUUUAUUAUUUAAGUGUAUGUGUUAUAUGUGAUUACAAUCACAUAUUGACAAAGUGAUUUCACAGUAUUAAUACAUGUCCCUAAUCUGUUUUUCUUGAUAUUUCCCUUGGAGAUAAAUUCCUCUUUCUAUAUCCAUUUUAACAAAAGAAUAAAAGGGAUAGAUGAAACAAUGAUGUUAUAAAACAAUAUACAAUAAGUAAAAAUCCUAUUUUAACCAGAAUAAAAAAUACCGAAUCUUGAUGACUGACAAUAUGUUCAAUAGGAUGAAAGUUUCUAGCAAGAAAAUGAAAAAAAUCAUAGGCAAUUCUUGGCAACUCAACAGGGUUUAUUUUCUUUUUAUAAUAGUUGUGCAUCAAGCUGAGCCUUAGUCCCAGCUACCCAGGGAGGCUGAGGCAGGAGGAUCACUUGAGCCUAGGAGAUCAAGGCUGCAGGGUAUUAUGAUCAUGCCUGUAAAUAGCCACUUCAAUCCAGUCUGUGAGACAGACUGAGACCCCAACUCUUAAAAAAUAAUAAUGAUAAUAAUAAUAAAUAAAGUAAUUGUGCAUCAUCCAGGUAACUAGGAUAAUUGUAGAGAAAUAGCCAUUGGAUAUAGUAUGAUACUAUGCUACUGAUCACAGAGUUCCUUUAGUUUCUAAUCUUUUUCUUAAUUUCUUAUAAAACUAAAUAUAUUCACUUAGUAAAGGAAGUUCUUCAUUAAACAAAUCAAAAAGCCAAAAAUGUCACAUCCAAAUGUAGGAUGAGUUAUCUACUGUUCCCCAAAUAGUGGACUUGUUCAUUAAAAAUUAAUAGGGCCUUCAACUUAUUUGGGGCUAAGAAAGGAGUCAUCUCAUGUAGAGAUUGUUAACAGUGUGGUAAUCCAAUUGAUCACAUAUUUCAGCUAAAUCACAGAUUACCCAUUUCUGAAGAAAUAUAAUACCAUAGAAGCACUACACAUGAAAAUUGUCAGAUAAAACAAUUUGUAUUUGCCAAUCCUGAAGACACUUAAAAUCUUGGCCAAUCAUCAGUAGCAGCACUGUCACUGUGAUACAGAUAUAAAGAAGUUUAGCAUUACAAACUAAUAGAAUACCAGAUAUAGUCCAGGAUAGGUAGCCAAUUCUCUUAAAAGGAAAUCAUACACGUUCUUCAAACAUACAUAUACUACAAAUGGGUUCAAACAAUAUUUUCUUUAGGGCUGAAAUUCAACAGGAAGAAGUAAAAUCAGAGAUGUGAGAGGAAGGCCAAUGGAAAGAGAAUUACACUAACAAAAAGAAUCAGGUACUGACUUUCUAGCCAAUGUCACCCGAGUUUCCCAAAUACUGAGAAUCAGUAUAGUUAGCAUAUCACCUUAUAUUUUUCUCUGCGGUAUUAUAUUAGUUUUAUGCAAUAAAAUAUUUAAUAAUGUCACUUUCUUGAAACUCAACUGUAAAUGACUUCUGAUGAAAACUCAAAGCUCUGUCAAAACAUGGUUCUGGUAUGAUUCCAUGACAGAGGGAGGGCAUGUGUGUGUGACAAUGGCAUCCAGUGCUGCCAGAUUUUUGUUUUGGAACGCAUCCAAAAGAGCUUAUCAAGGACUUGAGUACAAAGUAAGCAUUUCCACAAGCAGCAGUUAAGAAAGACAACACUUUUCCUCACAUGAUCAUUAGGUUUUGACAGUUCUGGAAAAAUGUUGUCAUGUUUCUCACCAGUCUAGACCAUUUUCUCUGACCCUAUGUAGGUGGCUACUGCAGUUAGAAAAAAGUUAGGUAGGAUCUUGGCAGAUAUAUUCUUACAUAUUUGGAUUCCAGAAGUAUAAAUCACAAAAAUAGUAGACUGAUAACUUUACAAUUGUUGUUUUGAAUAGGCUACCACCAAAGAGCUUUAAAACGUUCAAUCCAGCCUACUUUUCAGUAAUCUUAUUUGUCAAAAUGGAUACUCUGUCCUUGAAAUUAUCACCUUUUUUUGAAUUUUUGCAAGACCACCGAAAGGUGGUCUUACUAAUAACCUAUCUAAUAGAGGAAAACAAACUAUCAAACAGAGAGUAACAGAAAUAAACUCUCAACACAGCUACCCUUUGUUUAAUUAAAACACAUGUGGCCUAACUUGUUAUCUCUGAGUUCUUUCUCAGCCUUGAAAAGUUCCUGAGUGGACAGUAGGAGCGUAAACUUCCCCUGCUACCUCAAGAAGAGACAGAAUGAGGUGCCUCCCGCUAUCAA
Microcebus murinus (gray mouse lemur) is the source of this 3720-nucleotide non-coding RNA. The record is from RefSeq and is a predicted model, not a curated record. Lineage: Eukaryota; Metazoa; Chordata; Mammalia; Primates; Cheirogaleidae.